RNAcentral lists this long non-coding RNA (1823 nucleotides) under Salmo salar (Atlantic salmon). RNAcentral's name for it is "lncRNA (ENSSSAG00000104916.1)". Lineage: Eukaryota; Metazoa; Chordata; Actinopteri; Salmoniformes; Salmonidae. The record is from RNAcentral.
GGUGUGUUUUAUGAUUAACGACUCAUGGUGUAAUUGUAACAACAUACAAGAACUUAAGUCCUUUUGUUCACCUGACCUAGAAUUCCUCACAAUCAAAUGCCGACCGUAUUACCUCCCAAGAGAACUCUCCUCGGGUAUAGUCACAGCCGUGUAUAUACUGAACUCUACGCAAACUGGAAACCAUAUAUCCUGAGGCUGUAUUUAUUGGAGCUGGGGAUUUUAACAAAGCUAAUCUGAGAACAAGGCUACCUAAAUUCUAUCAGCAUAUCGAUUGCAGUACAUGAGCGAGUAACGCGCUCGACCAUUGCUACUCUAACUUACGCGAUGCAUACAUCGCCCUCCCCCGCCAUCCUUUUGGCAAAUCUGACCAUGACUCCAUCUUGUUGCUCUCCUCCUAUAGGCAGAAACUAAAACACGAAGAACCCGUGCUUAGGUCUGACCAAAUCGUAUUCCACGCGUCAAGAUUGCUUCGAUCACGUGGACUGGGAUAUGUUCCGGGUAGCCUCAGACAAUAACAUCGACGUACACGCUGACUCGGUGAGCGAGUUUAUAAGGAAAUGUAUAGGAGAUGUUGUACCCGCUGUGACUGUUAAAACCUUCCCUAACCAGAAACCGUGGAUUGAUGGCAGCAUUCGCGCAAAUUCUGAAAGCACGUACCACCGCAUUUAAUCACGGCAAGGCGACUGGAAACAUGGCCGAAAACAAACAGCGAAGUUAUUCCCUCCGUAAGGCAAUCGAACAAGCAAAGCGUCAGUAUAGAGAAAGUGGAGUCGCAAUUACAGGCCACGUCACCGCGCCGGGGCGAGGGAACGCUCUACUACAGACCAGGACGUGCCGAGAGAGUGGACUUAGGCUUUGCUCCUGAUAUGAGAAGGGUAGUAAUAUUUGGGUGAAUGUAGCGGCUUCAAUUCAAUUCAAAUAAUUUCAUUCUCUUUCCUUCAUUUGUUCUUUUGACAGGAUGCCAUCUCUGCCCCCCUUUAAAAAGCUAGGCAACCAGCUUGCCCGUCACAACAACAAACAAUGUUUCAUUCUAAUUUAGCUCCAGUGCCAACAGCCUAAGUUAGUCAGUCAGCCAGUCACAGUCACAGGACAACCUUUCAGCUGCCAAACAAACACAUGGUGUGUAUGUUUUCAUCCACAGCCCAAGGGAUGAGGGUCAGGGCAGGACGACUCUGAACAACACUAAGAGACAGGGACGAGGGUCAGGACGACUCUGAACAACACUAGGAGACAGGGACGAGGGUCAGGACGACUCUGAACAACACUAAGACAGGGACGAGGGGCAGGACGACUCUGAACAACACUAAGACAGGGACGAGGGUUAGGACGACUCUGAACAACACUAAGAGACAGGGACGAGGGUCAGGACAACUCUGAACAACACUAAGAGACAGGGACGAGGGUCAGGACGACUCUGAACAACACUAAGAGACAGGGACGAGGGUCAGGACGACUCUGAACAACACUAAGACAGGGACGAGGGUCAGGACGACUCUGAACAACACUAAGAGACAGGGACGAGGGUCAGGACGACUCUGAACAACACUAAGAGACAGGGACGAGGGUCAGGACGACUCUGAACAACACUAAGAGACAGGGACGAGGGUCAGGACGACUCUGAACAACACUAAGAGACAGGGACGAGGGUCAGGACGACUCUGAACAACACUAAGACAGGGACGAGGGUCAGGACGACUCUGAACAACACUAAGAGACAGGGACGAGGGUCAGGACGACUCUGAACAACACCAAGAGACAGGGACGAGGGUCAGGACGACUCUGAACAACACUAAGAGACAGGGACGAGGGUCAGGACGACUCUG